CUCGUAGGUGGUUUGUCGCGUCGUCUGUGAAAUUCCGGGGCUUAACUUCGGGCGUGCAGGCGAUACGGGCAUAACUUGAGUGCUGUAGGGGAGACUGGAAUUCCUGGUGUAGCGGUGGAAUGCGCAGAUAUCAGGAGGAACACCGAUGGCGAAGGCAGGUCUCUGGGCAGUAACUGACGCUGAGGAGCGAAAGCAUGGGGAGCGAACA
This 208-nucleotide ribosomal RNA is filed under the name uncultured bacterium. RNAcentral's name for it is "partial 16S ribosomal RNA". It matches the Rfam family "Bacterial small subunit ribosomal RNA", at positions 568 to 774 of the family's 1533-position model. RNAcentral also lists the same sequence under 1 other name. The record is from RNAcentral.